AGCCCUAAGCGGGUGGUAAACUCCAUCUAAGGCUAAAUACGACCACGAGACCGAUAGCGAACAAGUACCGUGAGGGAAAGUUGAAAAGCACUUUGAAGAGAGAGUUCAAGAGUACGUGAAACCGUUUAGGGGUAAACCUGAGAAACCCGAAAGGUCGAAGGAAGAAAUUCAUUCGCGUUUCGCGAUUGGCGACGGACGGUCGAGCGACGGGAAGCGUUCGCGUUUCCCGCGCCUUCGGUUCGUCGAACCGGUCGCGAACGCGUGCACUUUUCUUCCGGUAGGACGUCGCGAUCCGUCGGGCGUCGGUCUAAGGUUCGCGGUGGAGCCCGUCGUUCGCGUUUCGGCGCGUGUAACGGCGGACCCGCGUAUCCCGGCCGACCCGCUCGACGGUACGCUAAAGGUUUAAGGCCGCUCGUUUUGGAGCGUUCGGCUCGCGGCAAGCGCGCCCGUCGCGUCGGCGAUCGGACCGAGUGCCGAUUCUGACCGCGGGCGACUGUUGGCCGCGAAGUUCUCGAACAGACCUUCGAACCGAUCCGCGACGCUAUAGCUUUGGGUACUUUCAGGACCCGUCUUGAAACACGGAA
RNAcentral lists this ribosomal RNA (584 nucleotides) under Molytinae sp. CNCCOLVG00008202. RNAcentral's name for it is "partial 28S ribosomal RNA". It matches the Rfam family "Eukaryotic large subunit ribosomal RNA", at positions 284 to 664 of the family's 3401-position model. The record is from RNAcentral. Lineage: Eukaryota; Metazoa; Arthropoda; Insecta; Coleoptera; Curculionidae.